This 253-nucleotide ribosomal RNA is filed under the name uncultured bacterium. RNAcentral's name for it is "partial 16S ribosomal RNA". It matches the Rfam family "Bacterial small subunit ribosomal RNA", at positions 524 to 776 of the family's 1533-position model. The record is from RNAcentral.
UACGUAGGGUCCGAGCGUUGUCCGGAAUUACUGGGCGUAAAGAGCUCGUAGGUGGUUUGUCGCGUUGUUCGUGAAAACUCACAGCUCAACUGUGGGCGUGCGGGCGAUACGGGCGGACUUGAGUACUGCAGGGGAGACUGGAAUUCCUGGUGUAGCGGUGGAAUGCGCAGAUAUCAGGAAGAACACCCGUGGCGAAGGCGGUUCUCUGGGACGGUACUGACGCUGAGACGCGAAAGCGUGGGGAGCGAACAGG